UAGGAAAUGGAAGGAUUUGAGGAAAAGAUAAUUUCUGUUUUGAACAUGUCAGGUGUCUACAGGACGUCCAAUUGUAUCUAGUUGUAUUGGAUAUACAAGACAGGGAAGGAUUUAGAAAAGAGGCUAGGACUAGAAAAACAGAUCUGAGUUAGCUGCAUCAUUUUUUAUUCUUUGUUUCUUUCUUUUUUCCCUUCCCUCCCUCCCUCUUUCUGUCCUUCCUUUCUCUAUCUCUCUUUCUUUGUUUCUCCUUCCUUCCUUCCUUCCUUCCUUCCUUCCUUCCUUCCUUUCUUUCUUUCUUUUUUUUUCUUUUUCUUUCCUUUCUUUCUCUC
This 329-nucleotide long non-coding RNA is filed under the name Monodelphis domestica (gray short-tailed opossum). Its description in RNAcentral is "lncRNA (ENSMODG00000036937.1)". Lineage: Eukaryota; Metazoa; Chordata; Mammalia; Didelphimorphia; Didelphidae. The record is from RNAcentral.